Molecule: long non-coding RNA, 308 nt
Organism: Bombus pyrosoma
Lineage: Eukaryota; Metazoa; Arthropoda; Insecta; Hymenoptera; Apidae
Exons: 2
Source: RefSeq, a predicted model, not a curated record
UUUCGAAUUACUGGUUGAAGGAUAGUACCAACCGGAACUAAUCCAGGAGGUCGAUGAUCAAGCCAUCUAUCUGCACUUUGUGACCGUCUAUAGCGCGGAUUCACUACUGGAAUUCUAUCCUACAAAUUAUUAAAGGUCUUCUUGUAAAAUAUUCCGCUUCUGAAUACGCAAUUCUAAGAAACGUAUAAGUGUAGUAAUUAUUUCAUCAUUAUGUGGACUUGUUAUUUCCAUUUCUGGGAAUGAUCCUCCAAGACUGGAAAAAAAUGUAUCACACAACAAAAUAAUUUCUUUAUUAUUGAUUAAUCUAA